UGGGGAAUCUUCCGCAAUGGACGAAAGUCUGACGGAGCAACGCCGCGUGAGUGAAGAAGGUUUUCGGAUCGUAAAACUCUGUCUUUUGGGGCGAACGUGAGUAUGGUGAACAAUCAUAGUCAGUGACGGUACCAAAGGAGGAAGCCACGGCUAACUACGUGCCAGCAGCCGCGGUAAUACGUAGGUGGCAAGCGUUGUCCGGAAUUAUUGGGCGUAAAGAGCGCGUAGGCGGGAUAGUCAGUCUGUUGUAAAAGUGCGGGGCUCAACCCCGUGAUCGCAAUGGAAACAGCUAUUCUUGAGUGCAGGGAGAAGGAAGUGGAAUUCCCAGUGUAGCGGUGAAAUGCGUAGAUAUUGGGAGGAACACCAGUGGCGAAGGCGACUUUCUGGACUGUGUCUGACGCUGAGGCGCGAAAGCCAGGGGAGCGAACGGGAUUAGAUACCCCGGUAGUCCUGGCCGUAAAACGAUGGGUACUAGGUGUGGGAGGUAUCGACCCCUUCCGUGCCGGAGUUAACGCAAUAAGUACCCCGCCUGGGGAGUACGGUCGCAAGACUGAAACUCAAAGGAAUUGACGGGGUCAUAGCUGUUUCCUG
This 591-nucleotide ribosomal RNA is filed under the name uncultured bacterium. Its description in RNAcentral is "partial 16S ribosomal RNA". It matches the Rfam family "Bacterial small subunit ribosomal RNA", at positions 355 to 1376 of the family's 1533-position model. The record is from RNAcentral.